Vicia faba (fava bean) is the source of this 297-nucleotide non-coding RNA. The record is from the annotation of a GenBank genome assembly. NCBI's taxonomy places the organism in Eukaryota, Viridiplantae, Streptophyta, Magnoliopsida, Fabales, Fabaceae.
UUAUUUAUUUACUUAUUUCAAUCUAUUUCAUAUCAAUCUUCCACUACCAUUUUUAUUUUUUUCCUCUACGUGGUAAUGACGGUUACAAUCAUCACCUUGCUGUUUAAUUUUUUCUCAAAUCCCCGUUCUUUCCGAUUAUUUUCUCAAAUCCCUAUUCUUCAUCUUUCCGAUUCCUAUCCCCUUCUCAGAUCUUUCCGUUGCAACAUUCCAAAUCUUUCUGAUUCCUAUUCUUUUCUCAAAUCCACAUUCCUCAUCUUCUUUAUUUCCCCUUUUCUUCAUCAUCUUCGUCAAUUGUAA